Molecule: ribosomal RNA, 393 nt
Filed under: uncultured bacterium
Lineage: Bacteria
Description: partial 16S ribosomal RNA
Rfam family: Bacterial small subunit ribosomal RNA
Source: RNAcentral
AUACGGAGGAUCCAAGCGUUAUCCGGAUUUAUUGGGUUUAAAGGGUGCGUAGGCGGACUGGUAAGUCAGCUGUGAAAGUUUGCGGCUUAACCGUAAAAUUGCAGUUGAUACUGUCAGUCUUGAGUGUGCAUGAGGUGGGCGGAAUUUGUGGUGUAGCGGUGAAAUGCUUAGAUAUCACGAGGAACUCCAAUUGCGAAGGCAGCUCACUGGGGCAUAACUGACGCUGAUGCACGAAGGUGUGGGUAUCAAACAGGAUUAGAUACCCUGGUAGUCCACACAGUAAACUAUGAAUACUCGCUGUUUGCGAUAUACAGUAAGCGGCCAAGCGAAAGCAUUAAGUAUUCCACCUGGGGAGUACGCCGGCAACGGUGAAACUCAAAUGAAUCGACGGGG